RNAcentral lists this ribosomal RNA (353 nucleotides) under Escherichia coli. RNAcentral describes it as "bacterial SSU rRNA". It matches the Rfam family "Bacterial small subunit ribosomal RNA", at positions 1167 to 1519 of the family's 1533-position model. Lineage: Bacteria; Pseudomonadati; Pseudomonadota; Gammaproteobacteria; Enterobacterales; Enterobacteriaceae. The record is from RNAcentral.
AGGAAGGUGGGGAUGACGUCAAGUCAUCAUGGCCCUUACGACCAGGGCUACACACGUGCUACAAUGGCGCAUACAAAGAGAAGCGACCUCGCGAGAGCAAGCGGACCUCAUAAAGUGCGUCGUAGUCCGGAUUGGAGUCUGCAACUCGACUCCAUGAAGUCGGAAUCGCUAGUAAUCGUGGAUCAGAAUGCCACGGUGAAUACGUUCCCGGGCCUUGUACACACCGCCCGUCACACCAUGGGAGUGGGUUGCAAAAGAAGUAGGUAGCUUAACCUUCGGGAGGGCGCUUACCACUUUGUGAUUCAUGACUGGGGUGAAGUCGUAACAAGGUAACCGUAGGGGAACCUGCGGUU